Molecule: ribosomal RNA, 1374 nt
Filed under: synthetic construct
Also listed under: 1 other name
Description: bacterial SSU rRNA
Rfam family: Bacterial small subunit ribosomal RNA
Source: RNAcentral
AGAGUUUGAUCCUGGCUCAGGAUGAACGCUGGCGGCGUGCUUAACACAUGCAAGUCGAGCGAGAAAAGUUCUUCGGAGCUUUUCUAGCGCCGGACGGGUGAGUAACACGUGGGCAACCUGCCUCAUAGAGGGGAAUAGCCUUCCGAAAGGAAGAUUAAUACCGCAUAACAUUGUUGAAAGGCAUCUUUUAACAAUCAAAGGAGCAAUCCGCUAUGAGAUGGGCCCGCGGCGCAUUAGCUAGUUGGUGAGGUAACGGCUCACCAAGGCGACGAUGCGUAGCCGACCUGAGAGGGUGAUCGGCCACAUUGGAACUGAGACACGGUCCAGACUCCUACGGGAGGCAGCAGUGGGGAAUAUUGCACAAUGGGGGAAACCCUGAUGCAGCAACGCCGCGUGAGUGAUGAAGGUCUUCGGAUUGUAAAGCUCUGUCUUUAGGGACGAUAAUGACGGUACCUAAGGAGGAAGCCACGGCUAACUACGUGCCAGCAGCCGCGGUAAUACGUAGGUGGCAAGCGUUAUCCGGAUUUACUGUGUGUAAAGGGAGCGUAGACGGAAGAGCAAGUCUGAUGUGAAAGGCAGGGGCCCAACCCCUGGACUGCAUUGGAAACUGUCCUUCUUGAGUGCCGGAGGGGUAAGCGGAAUUCCUAGUGUAGCGGUGAAAUGCGUAGAUAUUAGGAGGAACACCAGUGGCGAAGGCGGCUUACUGGACGGUAACUGACGUUGAGGCUCGAAAGCGUGGGGAGCAAACGGGAUUAGAUACCCUGGUAGUCCACGCGGUAAACGAUGAAUACUAGGUGUCGGGGAGCACAGCUCUUCGGUGCCGCCGCAAACGCAUUAAGUAUUCCACCUGGGGAGUACGUUCGCAAGAAUGAAACUCAAAGGAAUUGACGGGGACCCGCACAAGCGGUGGAGCAUGUGGUUUAAUCCGAAGCAACGCGAAGAACCUUACCAAGUCUUGACAUCCCUGUGACCGGCCUUUAAUCGGGCCCUCCCUUCGGGGCACAGGAGACAGGUGGUGCAUGGUUGUCGUCAGCUCGUGUCGUGAGAUGUUGGGUUAAGUCCCGCAACGAGCGCAACCCUUAUCCUUAGUAGCCAGCACGCAGUGGUGGGCACUCUGGGGAGACUGCCAGGGAUAACCUGGAGGAAGGUGGGGAUGACGUCAAAUCAUCAUGCCCCUUAUGAUUUGGGCUACACACGUGCUACAAUGGCGUAAACAAAGGGAAGCGAGAGGGUGACCUUGAGCAAAUCCCAAAAAUAACGUCCCAGUUCGGACUGUAGUCUGCAACCCGACUACACGAAGCUGGAAUCGCUAGUAAUCGCGGAUCAGAAUGCCGCGGUGAAUACGUUCCCGGGUCUUGUACACACCGCCCGUCA